Molecule: long non-coding RNA, 893 nt
Filed under: Canis lupus familiaris (dog)
Lineage: Eukaryota; Metazoa; Chordata; Mammalia; Carnivora; Canidae
Description: lncRNA (ENSCAFG00845006899.1)
Source: RNAcentral
AUGAACGGCUUAGAAAAUAACAUUACUCAAAACGUGAUCUUGGUUGGAAAAAGCAUACUGGUUAUUUCAGCCAGGAGGUUUUCAGGCAGAGGCUGACCCUGGAUUAAUGUUCAGCUCCUUCUGUGGAAAUCUAUCCAGGCCCUAAAGGAAUGGGGGAGGCUAGGCAAGUCAAGGCAUUGUCUACAGAAUGCUGAGCAAAACAUAGAUGUGAGGUGAUCAGCUGGAAAAAAGCAGAGACACAUUGGAAAGUCACACGAAGUGGACAUGGAAAAGGAAGGAAGAGCUAGAUUAAGCUAUACUUCCAGCAUUGGAGCCAGGUGGGAAAGCAAAGCAAAAGCAAAGCAAAACAGCAACCAAAACCCACAAAGUGGUUGGUUAACUGUUGGUAAAACAGCUGAGCUGCAAAGAAGGAGGACCUGCAGACCAGAGCUGACAUGAUGUGAGUUUGGUCAGUUCACGGAUGUGAAGAUUGAUCAUUUCACGUUCGUCUGUGUGCGAGAAGUGCUCCUUCUGCUCCUGAAGUAUCUGGUUGGGAUUCCAUUUCUUUGUUGGAGAACCAAACCCAUCCACAAGGUAAGGAAUCCUGGGGAGCCUUCAACCCAGACUCUUAGGGUUUCCAUUGCUAAUCUCAAUUUCCCAGAGGGUUUGGUACGGCCAAUGACACAACUCGAUUGGGAAGUGUAAAGAAAGAAUGGACGAUCACUCCUGUAGGAAAGAGAUGUGGCACACCUAAGGGUUAAGGAGGGACGAAGGUUUCUAUUUUAAACUCACAGGUUCUCUGAAGCAUUGGCAAGUCUUGGGUAAUAUACCACUCAUGUUGCUGUGGAACAUGUACAAGACUUUAGGGACUUUUUCUGGUUCACUGAAAGCAAAAUCAUUCAAGAGGACAGGGG